Molecule: long non-coding RNA, 249 nt
Filed under: Homo sapiens (human)
Lineage: Eukaryota; Metazoa; Chordata; Mammalia; Primates; Hominidae
Description: HSALNT0373536
Source: RNAcentral
UCCAAAAUGUAUUGUUUUCAAGAGGUCAGAAUGUCUCUUCUAUCUAUGUCCACUUAGAGGACCAAACAUGACGAGGAGGAGAGACUAUGAUGCAGCAAGAAGGCCCUCAACAGACACCAGAUGCCAGCAUCCUGAUUCUGGACUUCUAGCCUCCAGAACUAUCAAAUCAGGCAGCUGUCAUACUUACUAACUCAUGCAACAGAUUAUAAACCAAGCCAACAAUAAAAUGACAGGAAAUCAACCUAAAAU